Molecule: ribosomal RNA, 483 nt
Filed under: uncultured bacterium
Lineage: Bacteria
Description: partial 16S ribosomal RNA
Rfam family: Bacterial small subunit ribosomal RNA
Source: RNAcentral
UUGAACGCUGGCGGCAGGCCUAACCCCUGCAAGUCGGGCGGAUGAAGGGAGCUUGCUCCUGGAUUCAGCGGCGGACGGGUGAGUAAUGCCUAGGAAUCUGCCUGGUAGUGGGGGAUAACGUCCGGAAACGGGCGCUAAUACCGCAUACGUCCUGAGGGAGAAAGUGGGGGAUCUUCGGACCUCACGCUAUCAGAUGAGCCUAGGUCGGAUUAGCUAGUUGGUGGGGUAAAGGCCUACCAAGGCGACGAUCCGUAACUGGUCUGAGAGGAUGAUCAGUCACACUGGAACUGAGACACGGUCCAGACUCCUACGGGAGGCAGCAGUGGGGAAUAUUGGACAAUGGGCGAAAGCCUGAUCCAGCCAUGCCGCGUGUGUGAAGAAGGUCUUCGGAUUGUAAAGCACUUUAAGUUGGGAGGAAGGGCAGUAAGUUAAUACCUUGCUGUUUUGACGUUACCAACAGAAUAAGCACCGGCUAACUUUGUG